GUGGGGAAUUUUGGACAAUGGGCGAAAGCCUGAUCCAGCCAUGCCGCGUGCAGGAUGAAGGCCUUCGGGUUGUAAACUGCUUUUGUACGGAACGAAAAGACUCCUUCUAAUAAAGGGGGUCCAUGACGGUACCGUAAGAAUAAGCACCGGCUAACUACGUGCCAGCAGCCGCGGUAAUACGUAGGGUGCAAGCGUUAAUCGGAAUUACUGGGCGUAAAGCGUGCGCAGGCGGUUAUAUAAGACAGAUGUGAAAUCCCCGGGCUCAACCUGGGAACUGCAUUUGUGACUGCAAGGCUGGAGUGCGGCAGAGGGGGAUGGAAUUCCGCGUGUAGCAGUGAAAUGCGUAGAUAUGCGGAGGAACACCGAUGGUGAAGGCAAUCCCCUGGGCCUGCACUGACGCUCAUGCACGAAAGCAUGGGGAGCAAACAGGAUUAGAUACCCUAGUAGUCC
This 450-nucleotide ribosomal RNA is filed under the name uncultured bacterium. RNAcentral's name for it is "partial 16S ribosomal RNA". It matches the Rfam family "Bacterial small subunit ribosomal RNA", at positions 354 to 796 of the family's 1533-position model. The record is from RNAcentral.